GACGAACGCUGGCGGCGUGCCUAAUACAUGCAAGUAGAACGCUGAAGGAGGAGCUUGCUUCUCUGGAUGAGUUGCGAACGGGUGAGUAACGCGUAGGUAACCUGCCUGGUAGCGGGGGAUAACUAUUGGAAACGAUAGCUAAUACCGCAUAAUAGUAGAUGUUGCAUGACAUUUGCUUAAAAGGUGCAAUUGCAUCACUACCAGAUGGACCUGCGUUGUAUUAGCUAGUUGGUGGGGUAACGGCUCACCAAGGCGACGAUACAUAGCCGAUCUGAGAGGGUGAUCGGCCACACUGGGACUGAGACACGGCCCAGACUCCUACGGGAGGCAGCAGUAGGGAAUCUUCGGCAAUGGACGGAAGUCUGACCGAGCAACGCCGCGUGAGUGAAGAAGGUUUUCGGAUCGUAAAGCUCUGUUGUAAGAGAAGAACGAGUGUGAGAGUGGAAAGUUCACACUGUGACGGUAUCUUACCAGAAAGGGACGGCUAACUACGUG
This 495-nucleotide ribosomal RNA is filed under the name uncultured bacterium. RNAcentral describes it as "partial 16S ribosomal RNA". It matches the Rfam family "Bacterial small subunit ribosomal RNA", at positions 28 to 507 of the family's 1533-position model. The record is from RNAcentral.